AGCAGCCGCGGUAAUUCCAGCUCCAAUAGCGUAUAUUAAAGUUGUUGCAGUUAAAAAGCUCGUAGUUGAAUUUCGGGGUCAGUAGAUUGGUCGUGCCACUGGUAUGUACUGGUCUUACUGGCUCCUCCUUCCUGAUGAACCGUAAUGCCAUUAAUUUGGUGUUGCGGGGAGACUGGACUGUUACUUUGAAAAAUUAGAGUGUUUAAAGCAGGCUAACGCUUGAAUACAUUAGCAUGGAAUAAUGAAAUAGGACGUUCGAUCUUAUUUUGUUGGUUUCUAAGAUUGGCGUAAUGAUUAAUAGGGAUAGUUGGGGGCAUUAGUAUUCAAUUGUCAGAGGUGAAAUUCUUGGAUUUAUUGAAGACUAACUACUGCGAAAGCAUUUGCCAAGGAUGUUUUCAUUAAUCAAGA
Molecule: unclassified non-coding RNA, 408 nt
Filed under: uncultured Glomus
Lineage: Eukaryota; Fungi; Glomeromycota; Glomeromycetes; Glomerales; Glomeraceae
Description: SSU rRNA
Rfam family: Eukaryotic small subunit ribosomal RNA
Source: RNAcentral